This 793-nucleotide ribosomal RNA is filed under the name uncultured Flavobacteriales bacterium. RNAcentral's name for it is "bacterial SSU rRNA". It matches the Rfam family "Bacterial small subunit ribosomal RNA", at positions 42 to 837 of the family's 1533-position model. Lineage: Bacteria; Pseudomonadati; Bacteroidota; Flavobacteriia; Flavobacteriales. The record is from RNAcentral.
GCAGGCUUACACAUGCAAGUCGAGGGGUAUAGUUCUUCGGAACUAGAGACCGGCGCACGGGUGCGUAACGCGUAUGCAAUCUACCUUUCACAAAGGGAUAGCCCAGAGAAAUUUGGAUUAAUACCUUAUAGUAUAACGACUUCGCAUGGAGAUGUUAUUAAAGAUUUAUCGGUGAAAGAUGAGCAUGCGUCCCAUUAGCUAGUUGGNAAGGUAACGGCUUACCAAGGCUACGAUGGGUAGGGGUCCUGAGAGGGAGAUCCCCCACACUGGUACUGAGCAGGGAACCAANACUNNUACGGGAGGCAGCAGUGAGGAAUAUUGGUCAAUGGGCGCAAGCCUGAACCAGCCAUGCCGCGUGCAGGAUGACGGUCCUAUGGAUUGUAAACUGCUUUUGUACAGGAAGAAACACUCCCUCGUGAGGGAGCUUGACGGUACUGUAAGAAUAAGGAUCGGCUAACUCCGUGCCAGCAGCCGCGGUAAUACGGAGGAUCCAAGCGUUAUCCGGAAUCAUUGGGUUUAAAGGGUCCGUAGGCGGCUUAAUAAGUCAGUGGUGAAAGCCCUACGCUUAACGUAGGAACGGCCAUUGAUACUGUUAGGCUUGAAUUAUUAGGAAGUAACUAGAAUAUGUAGUGUAGCGGUGAAAUGCUUAGAGAUUACAUGGAAUACCAAUUGCGAAGGCAGGUUACUACUAAUGGAUUGACGCUGAUGGACGAAAGCGUGGGUAGCGAACAGGAUAGAUACCCUGGUAGUCNCGCCGUAAACGAUGGAUACUAGCUGUNGAAGCANUUCAGUG